ACGAAAGUCUGAUGGAGCAAUAUCAUGUGAACGAUGAAGGUCUUCUGAUUGUAAAGUUCUUUUAUUUAGGAAAAAAAGCUUGAUAGGAAAUGAUUAAUCCUUGAUUGUACUAAAUGAAUAAGUGACAGCUAACUAUGUGCCAGCAGCUGCGGUAAAACAUAGGUCACGAGCAUUAUCCGGAUUUAUUGGGCGU
RNAcentral lists this ribosomal RNA (193 nucleotides) under Candidatus Mycoplasma haematominutum. Its description in RNAcentral is "Candidatus Mycoplasma haemominutum partial 16S ribosomal RNA". It matches the Rfam family "Bacterial small subunit ribosomal RNA", at positions 375 to 561 of the family's 1533-position model. Lineage: Bacteria; Bacillati; Mycoplasmatota; Mollicutes; Mycoplasmatales; Mycoplasmataceae. The record is from RNAcentral.